AUUGAACGCUGGCGGCAGGCCUAACACAUGCAAGUCGAACGGUAACAGGCAACAGCUUGCUGUUUCGCUGACGAGUGGCGGACGGGUGAGUAAUGUCUGGGCAACUGCCUGAUGGAGGGGGAUAACUACUGGAAACGGUAGCUAAUACCGCAUAACGUCGCAAGACCAAAGAGGGGGGGCCUCGGGCCUCUUGCCAUCGGAUGUGCCCAGAUGGGCGGAGUUUGUUGGUGGGGUAACGGCUCACCAAGGUGGCGAGCUCUCGCUGGUCGGAGAGGAUGACAAGCCACAUGGGAACUUGGACACGGUCCAUACGCCUACGGGAGGCACCAGUGGGGAAUAGUGCACAAUAGUCGGAAGCCUGAUGCAACCAUGCCGAGUGUAAGAAAGAGGCCCUCGGGUUGGAAAGUACUUUCAGCGGUUAGGAAGGGAGUAAAGUUAAUACCGUGGCUCAUUGACGGUACCCGCAGAAGAAGCACCGGCUAACUCCGUG
Molecule: ribosomal RNA, 490 nt
Filed under: uncultured bacterium
Lineage: Bacteria
Description: partial 16S ribosomal RNA
Rfam family: Bacterial small subunit ribosomal RNA
Source: RNAcentral